ACGGCCACAAGACAUGCUCAUGUGCCUUGGCCAUUGUCGAAACUAACUUGGGUCACUUGGCCGACAAUAAUCUCGUGUGUCUAGCCCGUGUACCCUUCGAAAUGGCCACACACGCCCAGGUGCCAAGGCUGUGUGCCACACACGGCCACUAGACACACCCGUGUGUCUAGGCUGUGUCAAAAUGGUAGGUAUACUAGAUUUAAAUCGUA
This 209-nucleotide long non-coding RNA is filed under the name Gossypium barbadense (sea-island cotton). Its description in RNAcentral is "long non-coding RNA (GBAR_LNC007062)". Lineage: Eukaryota; Viridiplantae; Streptophyta; Magnoliopsida; Malvales; Malvaceae. The record is from RNAcentral.